UUGCUUCGGCAGCACGUAUACUAAAAUCGGAAUGAUACAGAGAAGAUUAGCAUGGCCCCUGUGCAAGGAUGACAUGUAAAUUUGUAAAGUGUUCCAUAUUUUU
Molecule: small nuclear RNA, 103 nt
Organism: Otolemur garnettii (small-eared galago)
Lineage: Eukaryota; Metazoa; Chordata; Mammalia; Primates; Galagidae
Source: Ensembl